UGGAGCAAGAACGCGAAGGAGCCUGGGGGAGCCUAAGCCAAGAGGGACGUGGCGCUCUACGACGCGGACCGGGAAGCCGCGCCCCUUCCUUCUCUGGCUUUCAUGGAGAGGCCUGCGAAGCAGGAUUUGGGCGGGAUCCCACAGAACAUCAGCUGGCCAAGCUCUUCAUUGUGUUCAGAAGAAGGUAGAGGGAGGCAGGCAUGAGUAUUUACUGAAGAGAAACUCAUGUUCAGCAGAACACCAUCAAGAUCUACCUGUGACCGCCAGGCUAGCUCAUAGCAACACUGAGGCCCACCAGCUGAUAGCACCAGGACAGUUCUUGGACGAAUUAGCUUCCUAGCCGCCAUAAAUACAAAAGGAUGGAUUGAUCUGAGAUGCCAAUUUGGAGAGAUUGGUGAGUAGAGACAUGGAUGACUCCAGAAAGAAGUAAUUUCUCCUCAAAUCUAACAACCAAAUGACUCUAAAACUCAGCCCAUCAAGAGAUUUGAACAAACAAUUCAUAGAAAACCAUAAAAGAACUAUAAAAUUAUAAUGGAUCUUUAUCAUAUGGAAAAAAAAAAGACUCAUCUUUCAAGAAAAUGAGAAGACAGGCCACAGACUGGGAGAAUAUAUUUACAAAACACACAUUUGAUAUAGGAUAGUUAUCUAUAAUAUAUAAAGAACUCUUAAAACUCAACAAUAAGAAAACAAACAACACAAUUAAAAAAUGAGCCAAAGACCUGAUAGACACCUCAAUGAAGAAGAUAUACAGAUGGCAAAUGAAAAGAUUCUCAAAAUCAUGUAAUCAUAUGUCAUUAGAGAAUUGAAAAUUCCAUCAAUGAAAUUCCACUACCUAUUAGAAUGGCUAAAAUCUAAAACAGAUAACACCAAAUGUCGACAAGGAUGUGGAUAAACAGGAACCGUCAUUUAUUAUGGAUGGAAUGCAAAAUGUUAAGCUUCUUUUUGAAGGCAAUUUGGUAGUUUCUUACAAAACUAAACAUACUCUUACCAUACUAUCCAACAAUUGCACUCCUUAGUAUUUAUCAAAAUGAGUUGAAGAUUUAUGUUCAUGCAAAAACCUGCACACAGAUGUUUAUAGCAGCUUUAUUUAUAAUUGCCCAAACUUAGAAACAAUCAAGUUGUUCUUCAAUAAGGUGAGUGAAUAAAUAAGUGUGGUCCAUCCAGACAAUGGAAUAUUAUUCAGCACUAAAAAGAAAUGAACUAUCAAGCCAUGAAAAGGCAUGAAGGAACCUUAAAGGCAUAUCACUAAGUGAAAGAUGCCAGUCUGAAAAGUCUGAAAAGGCUGCAUACAGUAUGAUUCCAAUUAUACGACAUUCUGGAAAAGGCAAAACUAUGGGGAGAAUAAAAAGAUCAGUGUUUGUUAAGGGAUUAGGGGAGUAGGAGGGAUGAAUUGGUAGAGCACAGAGAAAUUUUAGGGCAGUGAAACUGCUCUGUGUGAUACUAUAAUGGUAGAUACGUGUCAUUGUAAAUUUGUCCAAACCCAAAGAA
Long non-coding RNA from Prionailurus viverrinus (fishing cat), 1488 nucleotides. RefSeq lists it as uncharacterized. NCBI's taxonomy places the organism in Eukaryota, Metazoa, Chordata, Mammalia, Carnivora, Felidae. The transcript is spliced from 4 exons. The record is from RefSeq and is a predicted model, not a curated record.